GGGUUGUGAGGUUAAGCGACUAAGCGUACACGGUGGAUGCCCUGGCAGUCAGAGGCGAUGAAGGACGUGCUAAUCUGCGAUAAGCGCCGGUAAGGUGAUAUGAACCGUUAUAACCGGCGAUACCCGAAUGGGGAAACCCAGUGUGACUCGUCACACUAUCAUUAACUGAAUCCAUAGGUUAAUGAGGCGAACCGGGGGAACUGAAACAUCUAAGUACCCCGAGGAAAAGAAAUCAACCGAGAUUCCCCCAGUAGCGGCGAGCGAACGGGGAGGAGCCCAGAGCCUGAAUCAGCAUGUGUGUUAGUGGAAGCGUCUGGAAAGGCGCGCGAUACAGGGUGACAGCCCCGUACACAAAAGCGCAUGUGCUGUGAGCUCGAUGAGUAGGGCGGGACACGUGGUAUCCUGUCUGAAUAUGGGGGGACCAUCCUCCAAGGCUAAAUACUCCUGACUGACCGAUAGUGAACCAGUACCGUGAGGGAAAGGCGAAAAGAACCCCGGCGAGGGGAGUGAAAAAGAACCUGAAACCGUGUACGUACAAGCAGUGGGAGCACAGGUUUACCUGUGUGACUGCGUACCUUUUGUAUAAUGGGUCAGCGACUUAUAUUCUGUAGCAAGGUUAACCGAAUAGGGGAGCCGGAGGGAAACCGAGUCUUAAUUGGGCGUUAAGUUGCAGGGUAUAGACCCGAAACCCGGUGAUCUAGCCAUGGGCAGGUUGAAGGUUGGGUAACACUAACUGGAGGACCGAACCGACUAAUGUUGAAAAAUUAGCGGAUGACCUGUGGCUGGGGGUGAAAGGCCAAUCAAACCGGGAGAUAGCUGGUUCUCCCCGAAAGCUAUUUAGGUAGCGCCUCGUGAAUUCAUCUCCGGGGGUAGAGCACUGUUUCGGCUAGGGGGCCAUCCCGGCUUACCAACCCGAUGCAAACUGCGAAUACCGGAGAAUGUUAUCACGGGAGACACACGGCGGGUGCUAACGUCCGUCGUGAAGAGGGAAACAACCCAGACCGCCAGCUAAGGUCCCAAAGUCAUGGUUAAGUGGGAAACGAUGUGGGAAGGCCCAGACAGCCAGGAUGUUGGCUUAGAAGCAGCCAUCAUUUAAAGAAAGCGUAAUAGCUCACUGGUCGAGUCGGCCUGCGCGGAAGAUGUAACGGGGCUAAACCAUGCACCGAAGCUGCGGCAGCGACACUCAGGUGUUGUUGGGUAGGGGAGCGUUCUGUAAGCCUGCGAAGGUGGCCUGUGAGGGUUGCUGGAGGUAUCAGAAGUGCGAAUGCUGACAUAAGUAACGAUAAAGCGGGUGAAAAGCCCGCUCGCCGGAAGACCAAGGGUUCCUGUCCAACGUUAAUCGGGGCAGGGUGAGUCGACCCCUAAGGC
This 1368-nucleotide ribosomal RNA is filed under the name Salmonella enterica subsp. enterica serovar Infantis. RNAcentral's name for it is "partial 23S ribosomal RNA". It matches the Rfam family "Bacterial large subunit ribosomal RNA", at positions 1 to 1397 of the family's 2925-position model. Lineage: Bacteria; Pseudomonadati; Pseudomonadota; Gammaproteobacteria; Enterobacterales; Enterobacteriaceae. The record is from RNAcentral.